This 21-nucleotide small nuclear RNA is filed under the name Arabidopsis thaliana (thale cress). Its description in RNAcentral is "snRNA_18937". The record is from RNAcentral. Lineage: Eukaryota; Viridiplantae; Streptophyta; Magnoliopsida; Brassicales; Brassicaceae.
CCAAAAAUCUCUGUUUCUUCA